CCAUUAUCACAUAGUUGAGAUUAUUCCAUUCCCUCAAGAUGGUUACUGGAAAUUUGGUGCAUGUAAUUAGUAUCCCUAUGCUCAAAUUCAGCUAUAAAUGGAUGAAUCUUGUAGUGUUAAAACCUGAGGCUAGGAGAAGAGAAGUGUUCCCUUAGAAGAAUAGUGUAAAAUGGCAUCACUCAAAGCUGAGAAACCUGUUGAAAAAUCUUGUUGCUCUCAACCAUCUGCAGGACAGGUGAAGAAAGAGUCUUCUGCCAAACCUAGUUCAGGCACUUCCAAAGCCCCGGUCUCGAAACCAACCCCAAAGAAAAUUCCAAGCCAGACUAGGAAGAAGGCAAGCAGCAAUAAAUAAGCUGAAGAUGCAGGAGUAAAAAGUACGAAAGACUAAAAAAUAAUAGUUGUUGCACUUGGAAUUAUGGGAAGAGUCCUAAGGAUACUGUUAUAUGGUGCUCUUCAACCAUGUUUAUAAGUAGUGCUAUUAAUGUCUGUACCACUUGCUUAUGUUAUUUUCUCGUCAUGUAACUCCAAGAUGCCUUGGCCUAAUAAAUAAAAGAUACUUAUUCUAUGA
Glycine soja is the source of this 568-nucleotide long non-coding RNA. RefSeq lists it as uncharacterized. The record is from RefSeq and is a predicted model, not a curated record. Lineage: Eukaryota; Viridiplantae; Streptophyta; Magnoliopsida; Fabales; Fabaceae. The transcript is spliced from 2 exons.